Molecule: ribosomal RNA, 1325 nt
Filed under: Drepanopeziza tremulae
Lineage: Eukaryota; Fungi; Ascomycota; Leotiomycetes; Helotiales; Drepanopezizaceae
Description: LSU rRNA
Rfam family: Eukaryotic large subunit ribosomal RNA
Source: RNAcentral
CGGCGAGUGAAGCGGUAACAGCUCAAAUUUGAAAGCUGGCUCUUGCAGGGCCCGCGUUGUAAUUUGCAGAAGAUGCUUCGGGUGCGGCCCCGGUCUAAGUUCCUUGGAACAGGACGUCAUAGAGGGUGAGAAUCCCGUAUGUGACUGGGCGCCUCCGCCCAUGUGAAGCUCUUUCGACGAGUCGAGUUGUUUGGGAAUGCAGCUCAAAAUGGGUGGUAAAUUUCAUCUAAAGCUAAAUAUUGGCCAGAGACCGAUAGCGCACAAGUAGAGUGAUCGAAAGAUGAAAAGCACUUUGGAAAGAGAGUUAAACAGUACGUGAAAUUGUUGAAAGGGAAGCGCUUGCAACCAGACUUGCGCGCAGGUGAUCAUCCGGGCUUCUGCCCGGUGCACUCGCCUGCGCUCAGGCCAGCAUCGGUUUCGGUGGUGGGAUAAAGGCCCUGGGAACGUAGCUCCCCUCGGGGAGUGUUAUAGCCCUCGGUGCAAUGCCGCCUACCGGGACCGAGGACCGCGCUUCGGCUAGGAUGCUGGCGUAAUGGUUGUAAGCGACCCGUCUUGAAACACGGACCAAGGAGUCUAACAUCUAUGCGAGUGUUGGGUGUCAAACCCAUACGCGUAAUGAAAGUGAACGGAGGUGAGAACCCUGAAGGGUGCAUCAUCGACCGAUCCUGAUGUCUUCGGAUGGAUUUGAGUAAGAGCAUAGCUGUUGGGACCGAAAGAUGGUGAACUAUGCGUGAAUAGGGUGAAGCCAGAGGAAACUCUGGUGGAGGCUCGCAGCGGUUCUGACGUGCAAAUCGAUCGUCAAUUUGCGUAUAGGGGCGAAAGACUAAUCGAACCAUCCGGAUGGCCUUCAUGUAAACUGCAGCGCUAGGUGGUUAAGAGGUAUCAAAAAGAGAUACCUAGUCUUAUGUUUGUAAGGCUACACUAUCCAAUUGUUCGGGGACGCCUCGCAGAAGUAAGCUACCGCCGCCCCGUCGAAAGGCUGGGUGCGCACCGGGGUAACGACCUAGGGUACGGUAAUAACGCUUAUGGAGAGACAACCCGCAGCUAAGCCCUAAGGGUUCUAAGCUUAGCUUACGAAUCUACGGGUCGAGUUCACAGACUAAAUGGUAGUGGGCUCUCUUAGAGCUUAAGAUAUAGUCGAACCGCCGAGUGAUCGGUCGAUAGGGAGGAACCUACUCGCACAAACAGCUUUCAAGCGCUUGUUAGGGGAGAGACCUAUCGGAGGCAUUAUUAUGCCUCGGAGAGUGAAAGUCCGUGAGGUUACUACACGUUUUAACGAGAGACGGGGCCAGUUUGGGCCGUCUCAGGAGUAAAAUAUAGUAGCC